AUGGAAAAUGGUAGUCUUGACAGGUACUUGUACGAUAAAAAUAAGCCAACACUACACUGGCCUCAGAGGUAUAAGAUCAUCAAAGGUGUUGCAUCAAGUUUGUUGUAUCUUCAUGUGGAGUGGGAACAAAUCGUCAUCCAUCGAGAUAUAAAGGCGAGCAAUGUGCUCUUGGACGGUCAGAUGAAUGGACGGCUGGAUGAUUUUGGUCUAGCAAGGUUAUACGACCAUGGCACGGUUGCUAAAACAACACAUGUGGUGGGAACCAUGGGAUACCUUGCACCGGAACUUAUACGCACCGGGAAGGCAACACCCUUGACCGAUGUGUUCGCAUUUGGCGUGUUUCUCCUAGAGGUUGCAUGUGGGUGUAGACCAAUCAGCUGCAGGAAGGACAACACACAAACAAUGUUGAUUGAAUGGGUGCUUGAACAUCACCGCAAUGGAUUAGUUAUCGAUGUGGUAGAUCCACGGCUCAUGGGCAAUUUCAACAUAGAGGAAGCCACCCUCGUGCUCAACUUAGGAUUAUUGUGCUCCUACCCAUCACCAAGUGCAAGGCCUAGCAUGCGAAAGGUCGUGCAAUACCUGGACCGUGGUCAGUUAAUUCCUGACAUGUCUCCAACCUAUGUGAGUUACAACAUGAUAGCGAUGAUGCAUAACGAAGGGUCCGGUUCGUACAAAAUGGCAUGCACUUUGUCGAAUACUUAG
This 702-nucleotide ribosomal RNA is filed under the name Triticum aestivum (bread wheat). Its description in RNAcentral is "partial small subunit ribosomal RNA". Lineage: Eukaryota; Viridiplantae; Streptophyta; Magnoliopsida; Poales; Poaceae. The record is from RNAcentral.